Molecule: ribosomal RNA, 490 nt
Filed under: uncultured bacterium
Lineage: Bacteria
Description: partial 16S ribosomal RNA
Rfam family: Bacterial small subunit ribosomal RNA
Source: RNAcentral
AGUGAACGCUGGCGGUAGGCCUAACACAUGCAAGUCGAACGGCAGCACAGGAGAGCUUGCUCUCUAGGUGGCGAGUGGCGGACGGGUGAGGAAUACAUCGGAAUCUGCCCAGUCGUGGGGGAUAACGUAGGGAAACUUACGCUAAUACCGCAUACGACCUUCGGGUGAAAGAGGGGGAUCGCAAGACCUCUCGCGAUUGGAUGAGCCGAUGUCGGAUUAGCUAGUUAGCGGGGUAAUGGCCCACCAAGGCGACGAUCCGUAGCUGGUCUGAGAGGAUGAUCAGCCACACUGGAACUGAGACACGGUCCAGACUCCUACGGGAGGCAGCAGUGGGGAAUAUUGGACAAUGGGCGCAAGCCUGAUCCAGCCAUACCGCGUGGGUGGAGAAGGCCUUCGGGUUGUAAAGCCCUUUUGUUGGGAAAGAAAUCUUUCAGGCUAAUACCCUGGGAGGAUGACGGUACCCAAAGAAUAAGCACCGGCUAACUUCGUG